This 643-nucleotide ribosomal RNA is filed under the name uncultured beta proteobacterium. RNAcentral's name for it is "bacterial SSU rRNA". It matches the Rfam family "Bacterial small subunit ribosomal RNA", at positions 62 to 696 of the family's 1533-position model. Lineage: Bacteria; Pseudomonadati; Pseudomonadota; Betaproteobacteria. The record is from RNAcentral.
UCGAACGGCAGCAUAGAGAGCUUGCUCUCUGAUGGCGAGUGGCGAACGGGUGAGUAAUACAUCGGAACGUGUCCGUUUGUGGGGGACAACCACCCGAAAGGGUGGCUAAUACCGCAUAAGACCUGAGGGUGAAAGCCGGGGACCGCAAGGCCUGGCGCGAACGGAGCGGCCGAUGACUGAUUAGCUGGUUGGCGGGGUAAAGGCCCACCAAGGCGACGAUCAGUAGCUGGUCUGAGAGGACGACCAGCCACACUGGAACUGAGACACGGUCCAGACUCCUACGGGAGGCAGCAGUGGGGAAUUUUGGACAAUGGGGGCAACCCUGAUCCAGCCAUGCCGCGUGCGGGAAGAAGGCCUUCGGGUUGUAAACCGCUUUUGUCAGGGACGAAAAGGUGCGGGUUAAGAGCUAGCACUGAUGACGGUACCUGAAGAAUAAGCACCGGCUAACUACGUGCCAGCAGCCGCGGUAAUACGUAGGGUGCGAGCGUUAAUCGGAAUUACUGGGCGUAAAGCGUGCGCAGGCGGUUGGGUAAGACAGAUGUGAAAUCCCCGGGCUUAACCUGGGAACUGCAUUUGUGACUGUCCGACUGGAGUAUGUCAGAGGGGGGUGGAAUUCCAAGUGUAGCAGUGAAAUGCGUAGAUA